This 23-nucleotide non-coding RNA is filed under the name Arabidopsis thaliana (thale cress). Lineage: Eukaryota; Viridiplantae; Streptophyta; Magnoliopsida; Brassicales; Brassicaceae. The record is from RNAcentral.
UACAAGAAGAUUGACCUAGAUUG